GAGCCGGUAGCUCAGUAGGUAGAGCAACGGCCUUUUAAGCCGUGGGUCGCGGGUUCGAGUCCCGCCCGGCUCACCA
RNAcentral lists this transfer RNA (76 nucleotides) under Aquifex aeolicus. RNAcentral's name for it is "tRNA-Lys". It matches the Rfam family "tRNA". From Rfam's summary of the family: Transfer RNA (tRNA) molecules are approximately 80 nucleotides in length. Their secondary structure includes four short double-helical elements and three loops (D, anti-codon, and T loops). Lineage: Bacteria; Pseudomonadati; Aquificota; Aquificia; Aquificales; Aquificaceae. The record is from RNAcentral. RNAcentral also lists the same sequence under 1 other name.